AUUGAACGCUGGCGGCAGGCUUAACACAUGCAAGUCGAGCGGAGAUGAGGUGCUUGCACCUUAUCUUAGCGGCGGACGGGUGAGUAAUGCUUAGGAAUCUGCCUAUUAGUGGGGGACAACAUUCCGAAAGGAAUGCUAAUACCGCAUACGUCCUACGGGAGAAAGCAGGGGAUCUUCGGACCUUGCGCUAAUAGAUGAGCCUAAGUCGGAUUAGCUAGGUUGUGGGGUAAAGGCCUACCAAGGCGACGAUCUGUAGCGGGUCUGAGAGGAUGAUCCGCCACACUGGGACUGAGACACGGCCCAGACUCCUACGGGAGGCAGCAGUGGGGAAUAUUGGACAAUGGGGGGAACCCUGAUCCAGCCAUGCCGCGUGUGUGAAGAAGGCCUUAUGGUUGUAAAGCUCUUUAAGCGAGGAGGAGGCUACUGAGACUAAUACUCUUGGAUAGUGGACGUUACUCGCAGAAUAAGCACCGGCUAACUCUGUGCCAGCCGCCGCAGUAA
RNAcentral lists this ribosomal RNA (501 nucleotides) under uncultured bacterium. Its description in RNAcentral is "partial 16S ribosomal RNA". It matches the Rfam family "Bacterial small subunit ribosomal RNA", at positions 30 to 523 of the family's 1533-position model. The record is from RNAcentral.